UACACACCGCCCGUCACACCAUGGGAGUUGGCUUUACCUGAAGACGGUGCGCUAACCGCAAGGGAGGCAGCCGGCCACGGUAGGGUCAGCGACUGGGUG
This 99-nucleotide ribosomal RNA is filed under the name uncultured bacterium. Its description in RNAcentral is "partial 16S ribosomal RNA". It matches the Rfam family "Bacterial small subunit ribosomal RNA", at positions 1384 to 1482 of the family's 1533-position model. The record is from RNAcentral.